GAUAAUUCUCAGGGCGGGGUGUAAUUCCCCACCGGUGGUAAUAGCCCACUAGCACUUAGUUUUAUAUUAUAUACGAUUAAGGUUAGCUGAUUUGGUGUGAUUCCAAAGCCGACAGUGAUAGUCUGGAUGGAAGAGAGUUGCU
This is a regulatory RNA element of Frischella perrara, 142 nucleotides long. It matches the Rfam family "FMN riboswitch aptamer (RFN element)". From Rfam's summary of the family: The RFN element is a highly conserved domain that is found frequently in the 5'-untranslated regions of prokaryotic mRNAs that encode for flavin mononucleotide (FMN) biosynthesis and transport proteins. NCBI's taxonomy places the organism in Bacteria, Pseudomonadati, Pseudomonadota, Gammaproteobacteria, Orbales, Orbaceae. The record is from Rfam.